CUCCACUGCAAAAUCAGCAAUAGCAUUUCUAGACAUAAACCUAAUCAUCUCCUCUCUCUCCCCAACCUCUCUUUCCAAGUCUUGAAUUCUAGCUUUCCACUCCUCCCUCUCUCCCUGAAAAUCUUCAAUUCUUGCUCUUAGUGAUGCCAUUUCCUCACUAGCAGCAUCGAUCUGCUGCAGUAGCCGCUUCUCCUCCGCCUGCCAUGAGUUCCUAUGGCUGGG
Molecule: unclassified non-coding RNA, 222 nt
Filed under: Hevea brasiliensis (rubber tree)
Lineage: Eukaryota; Viridiplantae; Streptophyta; Magnoliopsida; Malpighiales; Euphorbiaceae
Source: RNAcentral